UACAGAGGUCUCAAGCGUUGUUCGGAUUCAUUGGGCGUAAAGGGUGCGUAGGCGGCGCGGUAAGUCGGGUGUGAAAUCUUGGAGCUUAACUCCGAAACUGCAUUCGAUACUGCCGUGCUUGAGGACUGGAGAGGAGACUGGAAUUUACGGUGUAGCGGUGAAAUGCGUAGAUAUCGUAAGGAAGACCAGUGGCGAUGGCGGGUCUCUGGACAGUUCCUGACACUGAGGCACGAAGGCCAGGGGAGCAAACGGG
This 253-nucleotide ribosomal RNA is filed under the name uncultured bacterium. RNAcentral's name for it is "partial 16S ribosomal RNA". It matches the Rfam family "Bacterial small subunit ribosomal RNA", at positions 524 to 776 of the family's 1533-position model. The record is from RNAcentral.